UAGAGUUUGAUCCUGGCUCAGAUUGAACGCUGGCGGCAUGCUUUACACAUGCAAGUCGAACGGGGUUAAGGGGCUUGCUCCUUAAUCUAGUGGCGAACGGGUGAGUAAUGCAUCGGAACGUACCCGGGAGUGGGGGAUAACGCACCGAAAGGUGUGCUAAUACCGCAUAUUCUGUGAGCAGGAAAGCAGGGGACCUUAGGGCCUUGUGCUUCCGGAGCGGCCGAUGUCGGAUUAGCUAGUUGGUGAGGUAAAGGCUCACCAAGGCGACGAUCCGUAGCGGGUCUGAGAGGAUGAUCCGCCACACUGGGACUGAGACACGGCCCAGACUCCUACGGGAGGCAGCAGUGGGGAAUUUUGGACAAUGGGCGCAAGCCUGAUCCAGCCAUGCCGCGUGUCUGAAGAAGGCCUUCGGGUUGUAAAGGACUUUUGUCA
Molecule: ribosomal RNA, 432 nt
Filed under: uncultured beta proteobacterium
Lineage: Bacteria; Pseudomonadati; Pseudomonadota; Betaproteobacteria
Description: bacterial SSU rRNA
Rfam family: Bacterial small subunit ribosomal RNA
Source: RNAcentral